UCCGGUUUGUCACCGGCAGUCUGGCGUGAGUCCCCAACUUAAUGCUGGCAACACGCCACGAGGGUUGCGCUCGUUGCGGGACUUAACCCAACAUCUCACGACACGAGCUGACGACAGCCAUGCACCACCUGUAUAGAGCCCUUGCGGACCUGCCAUCUCUGACAGUUUUCCCUAUAUGUCAAACCCAGGUAAGGUUCUUCGCGUUGCAUCGAAUUAAAGAACAUGCUCCGCUGCUUGUGCGGGCCCCCGUCAAUUCUUUUGAGUUUUAGCCUUGCGGCCGUACUCCCCAGGCGGGACACUUAACGCGUCAACUGCGGCACAGAGGGAUUCGACUCCCCCCACACCUAGUGUCCAUCGUUUACGGCUAGGACUAC
RNAcentral lists this unclassified non-coding RNA (374 nucleotides) under uncultured Rubrobacterales bacterium. RNAcentral's name for it is "contains 16S-23S intergenic spacer region". The record is from RNAcentral. Lineage: Bacteria; Bacillati; Actinomycetota; Rubrobacteria; Rubrobacterales.